RNAcentral lists this long non-coding RNA (1606 nucleotides) under Mus musculus (house mouse). RNAcentral's name for it is "long non-coding RNA chr9:78192044-78193650". The record is from RNAcentral. Lineage: Eukaryota; Metazoa; Chordata; Mammalia; Rodentia; Muridae.
AACAAUCCCACAAGAAUAAGGUGAGUGAGUGCGUACAUGUGUGUGCGUGCGUGUGUGUGUGUGUACUCCUCUUGCACUGAGUAGUUACAUAAUUUUGCUAAAGCUACAGUUUAUAAUCCGCAAUUGUUUUAACUUUGUGAUUUAUUUGCUGUUCACUAUCUCAAAGCUUGUUUAGGCCAAAUAAAAGGCACAAAUUUUUUCUGCCUAGUAGAUGAGCGGUUGGUAUGGUCUAAAGGUCUUGGUAGGGUUCGUUUUCUCUGCCAUUUAAGUAAUUAAAAGGCAGGAGGAAUUUCAACUGCAACAGAUAGCAGUGAAGAAAUCUCAAACCCUGCAGACAGGAGCAGAGACUCAGCAGCUGAAGAAGGGGGCUUGCUGGAGGCAAGCAACCACCCACAUGCAGCAGACACACAGAGAAAAGAUCUGCAACACUGAAGCCACAAAAUCUAAAAAUCCCCGAUCUCUUCUCGAGGGCUGGAUUUGUUUGUUUGUUUGUUUGUUUAGUCUCUGAAGACCCCCCCCCCCCAAUAUAGGGUAAUCACUUUAAAGAAAAGAAGUUUCUCUGGCCUGUGACUCUCGUGUAAACCAGCCCUAAUCCAGAUGGCCUAGAAGGUGUUGAGUUAGUCCCUCAGCAGUGGCCUGCUGCUGGGAGGUAAAAGCCUGCAAGGCCCUGGUUUUAAGGGGCCAGGCUUUUGUCUCAGCCUGGAGGGUAUAGAAGAAGCCAGCCAUCUUGGAAGUUCAUCAGGUUUCUUACAUAUCCAUGGCCCCUCUCCCUGUCUGUCUAACUUCUAGUCUCUCAUGAUUCUGAAGAAAAUAGCAAAUGGACAUCUAUCCAAUGGACACGCGUGCGUUGUCUGUGCACAGCUUAAGUAUGACUGGGCACACCAAAACACCCUCACACAUUAUAACUUCAAAAGUUGAAGAGACCUGAGAAACCUGCACAUCAAAUCCUACACUCUCCUGGCCCUGUGUGGAGUCAGAGCAGUUAGCACUCCCUCCCUGUGACGAUGCUCGUGUGUGUGUGUGUGUGUGUGUGUGUGUGUGUGUGUGUGUGUGUGUGUGUGUGUGUGUGUGUGUGUGUGUGUGUGUGUGUGUGUGUGUGUGUGUACGUACUCGGGAGCGCAAAUGCCAGCCUUGGGAACAAGAAAGCAGCAUCCCGUAGCCUCCCCUGAGACUCAUACCCCCUUUUGAUUAACAACCAACUUUUCUCAGGUGCAGAUGGCUCCUGCCCUCGAAGGAAACAGAACCCAAUACCCUUGAAAUGAUAACAGCCCACUCUUAGACUAUGAAAAAGAGACAAUUAAGUGUUCCCAGACAGCUGUGGCCAGUUGUAAAACUACACCAGCUUCCUAUAGCACAAGGUACUUUUCCCAGGUCGGAAAGGUUCCUUUCCAGCUGCACGUUCCGCCCCGCUGUCAGAACAAACCUGAUAUCAGGUUUGAAGAGCAGAAUUCCUUUACCCUCUCAUGGAAUGCCAAGGCUUGGAAACCCGGCCUGCAGUUUUUUCCUUUAUAAACCCCCUUCACUUAGACCUGGGGGUUCACUCUCUUUCCUGUUUCAUCAGGAAGGUUGGUGGCCCAAGCUCGAGCUUGAAUAAAGACCCUCAUGC